AAUAGGCUUUUUUGAAAUUCAAUUGAAAAUACUGGAGCAAGGCGGGAGGAGGAGCAGCUGAACACACACUACCUGCUAUAAAUAUGCACAGCUUUGUUAAUCAGCUGGGUGGGCCAGAGAGAAAUGCUUUGCAGGCUGGAUCUGAUUGCUGGGCCUGAUUUUGCCCAUCCCCUGGUACCCUGGUGCUUUGUAAUGCAACAUCACAGACAUGGUGGCAAGGCUGGAGUCAUGGACUGGUUUUAUGUUAUACAUGUUGGUGAGGGGAGAAGUGUGAUAGAGAAAAAGAUGGAGCUAUACAAUUUGGCCUGGGAUUUCUCUUGUGACUGUCCCAGCUGAUGAAAAUGAUUCAUUAUCUAGUGUCACACAGCAUCUUUACUUGGUAAUUAAAGAGAAAGAACCUCAAAUUAAUUUCUGUUUUGUGGUACCCAGCCCUCUGCCCCUCACAGCAGACGGAAUCUGAUCCAAAAAUAUACAUUAACUGACAAUGCUUCAUGGGAACUUGACUGAGCUUUGCUGUGUUGCUUGGCAACAUCAUCCUCUCAUUCCUUUAAGUCCAACUGCCAGCAGGUAUUUAGCCAUUGCUAGAAGGUGAUGACUCCCUUACUGGCCUAGGUUUAAUUGUCUCCCAGACAUAAAGGGUCUGAUUCUCAUUUACGUUAGGGCUACUUCACACUGCUCUGUCAGCAUAACUGAGCAUAAAGCCCAAAGAAAACAGCAAGAGUUGGAGCUAGAAGUGGCUUGUGGGAAUGAUUUCAUUUUAUGGAGGUUAGAUUUUAGCCAUAAACAUGAAAGCUUUAUAUUCAGUUAUUUUCUGUGAUUUCCAAAGGGAUUAAAAAAAACCCCUCUUUUAGAAGUACUUCCAGAUGGGGACUUGUGGAGGUCUUGUGUACCCAUUAAAAUAAUGAUGUGAAGGCAUGGUAUCCCUCACAGUCAUUUACACCAGAUUUCUAGGGUGUCAAUUACUAACUUAGCAGUUGCUGCUGUAUCUCUGCAUCAUAAAUGUUGUUCUUAUUUUCUGAUAUGGAAAUCUUUAUUCUUUCCCCAGUCAUUGAUGUUGAACAAAUCAAGAUUUCUGAGGGCCAAAUAUGCAGUGAUACAAAUUCAAGUUGUGAAAAAUAAGAUCACAUUUAGAAAAAAGAAAAUCACUUAAAUAAAUCAAAUACAAAUAAUGAAGUAGUCACAGACUGUGUAGUCUGGAAAAAAUUACUUGGAACAAAGAUAUUGCUCUAAAUUAUUCUUAGGCAGUGUUACCUUUUAUUGGUGUUGUUUUGCCUUUUUCUAUAUUCUCAGUGUCUAGUUUAAAUCCGAAAUAACAUCCUCUAUACGAGAGGCACACAAGGUAUAGUAACAAAAGAGAUCCUUAACCAGUAUUGCUGGGAUCUAAAACAGAUUCAAAGCCAUAGAAGAUUUAGUCCAACAGAAGAGUAUCUUGAAAGACUCCCUGCUUUAAAAAGAGCUUUAUUGGUUUCAUCCCAUUGUGUUUAACUGCAGCAGAGAGCACUGCAAAAAACAAAUCUGAAUUCUACCUCAGAGAAAGGAGACAAAUAUAUUAACACAAGCAAGGAACUGAAGGAAAUCUAAGGGGCCGCUAAACAGUUUUAAAGGGUUCUAGCAUUUUUGUCAAACAGGCAUGGAAUGCAAACUGUUCAUCUGCUGAUAUCUUGGACUGCUUUAAGAGGCAUUCAAAGCACAGAAGGACUGGAAAAGUGCAAGAAAAAUGCAUACAAAUGAAAGCUUUUCUGUGUUACUACUCCCACAUCCCACUAGGAUGAUUUCCUUUCUGCAUCCCCUCUGUGUAUUAUAUCUCCUGCCUGAGCACCUCAUAACCUCAUCUUGGGGACCUGAAUAAUGCAAAUAAUUAAAGAAAAUAAACUAAAUGUGUGGGUGUAUAGGAUUCUCUUCCCCACAGAGAUUUCCCAUCAUCACACACUAUGCCACAUUGCAGCAGAAUACUAGUGCCAUGAUGCCUCUACUCUACUAAGUGGAUGAUGACAUCACAUCUAGACACAGAUACCAGCUUGGAUCUCCGUGCUGCUGGGAUUGAAAAGCUAUUGCAUCUGCAAAUGCUGCAUUUUAAAAGAAAUUGUGCAAAGAAAGAGCUUCAAUUUCCAGAAUUUGAAAGCUCUGCUGGUGUGGAACCCCCCCUGCAGCUAGAAUAUGUAAAUUCCACGGCCUGGAACUACUUGGUUAGACACCACAUGAAUACAGAUAUGUGAGCACUGAUCUGGAAACAGAACUUGAAUCCUAUCUGGAGUUUGCAUCCACUGCAUGUUUGUUUUUGCGUGUAUUAUUGUGCAUUGGCCAAGACUGAAGGUCACCAGACAGCACAUUCUUCUCACUGCAGCCGCAGAUUAGGUGAGAAUAACCUCCUAUCCUGUGGUAGGUUAUUUCCAGAUGGCAAGAACUGUCACCUUUGGUUUAACAAUGUAAUAUACCUAAGGCAAUGAACUAUCCAUUUAUUUAUUUAUUUUUUCAAUUAAUUCUGCUACCAUUGCAAAAUGUGUUUUACAUUUUAUCUCUAGAGCUAUCUAUCUAUACUGCUAAAUUUUCCUAAUACAUUUUCUUUAGAAACUCAAUCUGGAGAUGGAUGGGGAAAACACUUAUUCUCCAUUUAUUCACCGUCUCCCAGUCUCCUGUCAGGCAGUUAUCUUACGGUGAUACAACUACAGAGAUUAUGAGUUCCUGAGAGGCAAAAGCUGCAGGGAAGUGUGUCUAUGGGAGAAACCUGAAUAGAUGCAAAGGUAUACAAAUUUUGAUUCAAUGCAGCACAAGAAACAUAGUCACACCUUUUAAACAUAAUGGUAUUUAGGUUUCUGAAUUCUAAUUUACCUAAAGGUUUGGUUUAACACAUUGAUACAAUCACCAUUUAAGACAGUGUAAUUUACUGUCACUG
This is a non-coding RNA of Pelodiscus sinensis (Chinese soft-shelled turtle), 2893 nucleotides long. NCBI's taxonomy places the organism in Eukaryota, Metazoa, Chordata, Testudines, Trionychidae. The record is from RefSeq and is a predicted model, not a curated record.